GAUGAACGCUUGCGGCGUGCCUAAUACAUGCAAGUCGAGCGAAGCGGGGACGGGUGAGUAACACGUGGAUAACCUCCUAUAAGACUGGGAUAACUUCGGGAAACCGGAGCUAAACCGGAUACUUAUAGAUGGAUGCGCGCUGCAUUAGCUAGUUGGUAAGGUAACGGCUUACCAAGGCAACGAUGCAUAGCCGACCUGAGAGGGUGGAACGCCACACUGGAGCUGCUGCACGGUCCCGGCGCCGACGGGAGGCAGCAUGAGGGGAUCUUCCGCGAUUGGCGAAAGCCUGGCAGAGGAGAGCCGCGUGAGUGAUGAAGGUCUUCGGAUCGUAAAACUCUGUUAUUAGGGAAGCGGUACCUAAUCAGAGAGCCACGGGUAACUACGUGCCAACAACCGCGGUAAUAC
This 405-nucleotide ribosomal RNA is filed under the name uncultured bacterium. RNAcentral's name for it is "partial 16S ribosomal RNA". It matches the Rfam family "Bacterial small subunit ribosomal RNA", at positions 28 to 526 of the family's 1533-position model. The record is from RNAcentral.